This 1358-nucleotide ribosomal RNA is filed under the name uncultured Kineococcus sp. RNAcentral describes it as "bacterial SSU rRNA". It matches the Rfam family "Bacterial small subunit ribosomal RNA", at positions 68 to 1442 of the family's 1533-position model. The record is from RNAcentral. Lineage: Bacteria; Bacillati; Actinomycetota; Actinomycetes; Kineosporiales; Kineosporiaceae.
GGUGAAGCCCUUCGGGGUGGAUCAGUGGCGAACGGGUGAGUAACACGUGAGCAACCUGCCCUUGGCUCUGGGACAACCACUGGAAACGGUGGCUAAUACCGGAUACGACCCAUGCAGGCAUCUGUUGUGGGUGGAAAGAUUUUUCGGCUGGGGAUGGGCUCGCGGCCUAUCAGCUUGUUGGUGGGGUGAUGGCCUACCAAGGCGACGACGGGUAGCCGGCCUGAGAGGGCGACCGGCCACACUGGGACUGAGACACGGCCCAGACUCCUACGGGAGGCAGCAGUGGGGAAUAUUGCACAAUGGGCGCAAGCCUGAUGCAGCGACGCCGCGUGAGGGAUGACGGCCUUCGGGUUGUAAACCUCUUUCAGCAGGGAAGAAGCGAAAGUGACGGUACCUGCAGAAGAAGCACCGGCUAACUACGUGCCAGCAGCCGCGGUAAUACGUAGGGUGCAAGCGUUGUCCGGAAUUAUUGGGCGUAAAGAGCUCGUAGGCGGUGUGUCGCGUCUGCUGUGAAAACUCAGGGCUCAACUCUGAGCUUGCAGUGGGUACGGGCACACUUGAGUGCUGUAGGGGAGACUGGAAUUCCUGGUGUAGCGGUGAAAUGCGCAGAUAUCAGGAGGAACACCGGUGGCGAAGGCGGGUCUCUGGGCAGUUACUGACGCUGAGGAGCGAAAGCAUGGGGAGCGAACAGGAUUAGAUACCCUGGUAGUCCAUGCCGUAAACGUUGGGCGCUAGGUGUGGGGUCCAUUCCACGGAUUCCGUGCCGCAGCUAACGCAUUAAGCGCCCCGCCUGGGGAGUACGGCCGCAAGGCUAAAACUCAAAGGAAUUGACGGGGGCCCGCACAAGCGGCGGAGCAUGCGGAUUAAUUCGAUGCAACGCGAAGAACCUUACCAAGGCUUGACAUGCGCGGUGGAAUCCCAGAGAUGGGGUGUCAUUUAGUUGGUCGCGUACAGGUGGUGCAUGGUUGUCGUCAGCUCGUGUCGUGAGAUGUUGGGUUAAGUCCCGCAACGAGCGCAACCCUCGUUCCAUGUUGCCAGCAAUUCGGUUGGGGACUCAUGGGAGACUGCCGGGGUCAACUCGGAGGAAGGUGGGGAUGACGUCAAAUCAUCAUGCCCCUUAUGUCUUGGGCUUCACGCAUGCUACAAUGGCCAGUACAGAGGGCUGCGAUACCGUGAGGUGGAGCGAAUCCCAAAAAGCUGUCUCAGUUCGGAUCGGGGUCUGCAACUCGACCCCGUGAAGUCGGAGUCGCUAGUAAUCGCAGAUCAGCAACGCUGCGGUGAAUACGUUCCCGGGCCUUGUACACACCGCCCGUCACGUCAUGAAAGUCGGUAACACCCGAAGCCGGUGGCCCAACCCC